RNAcentral lists this ribosomal RNA (464 nucleotides) under uncultured bacterium. Its description in RNAcentral is "bacterial SSU rRNA". It matches the Rfam family "Bacterial small subunit ribosomal RNA", at positions 199 to 644 of the family's 1533-position model. The record is from RNAcentral.
GGAGGAAGCAGGGGAUCGCAAGACCUUGCGCUUUUGGAGCGGCCGAUGUCUGAUUGGCUUGUUGGUAAGGUAAAAGCUUACCAAGGCUUCGAUCAGUAGCUGGUCUGAGAGGACGACCAGCCACACUGGGACUGAGACACGGCCCAGACUCCUACGGGAGGCAGCAGUGGGGAAUUUUGGACAAUGGGGGCAACCCUGAUCCAGCCAUGCCGCGUGAGUGAAGAAGGCCUUCGGGUUGUAAAGCUCUUUCAGCCGGAACGAAACGGUUACGGUUAAUACCCGUGACUACUGACGGUACCGGAAGAAGAAGCACCGGCUAACUACGUGCCAGCAGCCGCGGUAAUACGUAGGGUGCGAGCGUUAAUCGGAAUUACUGGGCGUAAAGCGUGCGCAGGUGGUUUUGUAAGUCAGAUGUGAAAUCCCCGGGCUCAACCUGGGAACUGCGUUUGAAACUACAAAGCUAG